Molecule: non-coding RNA, 703 nt
Organism: Aegilops tauschii subsp. strangulata
Lineage: Eukaryota; Viridiplantae; Streptophyta; Magnoliopsida; Poales; Poaceae
Source: RefSeq, a predicted model, not a curated record
CGCCACCGCGGCCGCCGGAGGCGGGGUUGACCCGAACGCACCGGCGCCCCACCGCCGGAGGCGACUGGCGCUCUGGGCUCCAUCCCGACGCCCGCGCUAGGAUCGUCAGUAAGAUGUAAGCGGCGACCUCAAUCUUUGAUUUGAUCCUUCAUCCCCUUGAUUUAUUGGAGCACUCCUUCCAGAUCUAGUUGCACUCCUCAUCCAGCUCCAUGUCUCCUGGUGCGGCGGCACAGUGGGAGGGUGUGAACGCGCGGCCGCCCAGGGGUGGUGGUGGUGGUGACCUGCCUGCUCGUCCCUCGUCCUCAUCACCAGCCUCUCCGAGGUCGCUGCUGGGGCAAUCUCCAUGGGCCCUUGAGGAUGGAGUAGGAGGAUGAGCAGCAGCAAAUGAGCCUGAUGGUGAAGAAGCACCUGAUGAGCAGAACUCGUUCAAGAGCUCUUUUGUCCUUCCAAAACAGGGUCUUGAUGUCCCCCUUACAGAAAAAUGUUCAUACAUGUUCCUGCAUGAUGCGCGUGUGCAUGUUGGAUGGUCAUAUUCUAGUGUACUAGCUAGCUAGUAAGCUUGUUUUGCUACCGGAUGAUUGAAUGUCAUCUCAGUUUUUACCUCAUGUAGCUCACCGCCUAAUUUGUAGGUAAAGAUACCGUUGGCAUAUAUUAUCAGCAGCAUUUUUUCAUAAAAAAAAUAAAAAAUGUUGAUUUAGGUCCA